RNAcentral lists this long non-coding RNA (644 nucleotides) under Oryza sativa Indica Group (long-grained rice). RNAcentral's name for it is "lncRNA OsLaMu_01g0012130". RNAcentral also lists the same sequence under 1 other name. Lineage: Eukaryota; Viridiplantae; Streptophyta; Magnoliopsida; Poales; Poaceae. The record is from RNAcentral.
UGGAGUAAUCAUGCCGUGUGUUUGUGCAGGCGAAGAAGGCGCUGCGAGCGCUCAAGGCGCUGGUGAAGCUGCAGGCGCUGGUGCGUGGCUUCCUCGUUCGCCGGCAGGCCGCCGCCACGCUGCAGAGCAUGCAGGCGCUCAUCGCGCGCAGGCCACCGUGCGCGCCCACUGCAUCGGCGCCGGCGCCGCCGCCCAUCUCCCUCACAUCCACCACGCUCCCUUUUGGCCCCGCCGCUCGCUGGUGCGCCACCGACGAUACGAGGAGCGAGCACGGCGUAGCGGCGUACAGCCGGCGGCUGUCGACGAGCAUCGAGUCGUCGUCGUACGGGUACGACCGGAGCCCCAAGAUCGUGGAGGUGGACAUUGGGAGGCCCAAGUCGCGGUCGUCGUCGUCGCGGCGGGCGAGAUCCCCACUGCUCGACGCCGGGUGCGCGAGCGGCGGCGAGGAGUGGUGCGCCAACUCCAUGUCGUCGCUGCUGCCGUGCUACCUCCCCGGCGGCGCUGCCGCACCGCCGCCCCGCAUCGCCGUCCCGACGUCACGCCACUUCCCGGACUACGACUGGUGCACGCUGGAGAAGGCCCGGCCGGCGACGGUGCAGAGCACGCCGCGCUACGCGCACGCGCCGCCGAAGCAGCGGCCGUAG